AUCCUUAGUUGCCAUCAGUUCGGCUGGGCACUCUAGGGAAACUAGCCGGUGAUAAGCCGGAGGAAGGUGGGGAUGACGUCAAGUCCUCAUGGCCCUUAUGGGCUGGGCUACACACGUGCUACAAUGGCGACUACAGUGGGCAGCGACAUCGCGAGGUGAAGCUAAUCUCAAAAAGUCGUCUCAGUUCGGAUUGUACUCUGCAACUCGAGUGCAUGAAGUCGGAAUCGCUAGUAAUCGCGGAACAGCAUGCCGCGGUGAACACGUUCCCGGGCCUU
This 275-nucleotide ribosomal RNA is filed under the name uncultured Tistrella sp. RNAcentral's name for it is "partial 16S ribosomal RNA". It matches the Rfam family "Bacterial small subunit ribosomal RNA", at positions 1107 to 1382 of the family's 1533-position model. Lineage: Bacteria; Pseudomonadati; Pseudomonadota; Alphaproteobacteria; Geminicoccales; Geminicoccaceae. The record is from RNAcentral.